UAUAACGUAGAUUUUGUUAUUGUACACAGUCAAGAGGAAAAGGAUAUGAUCAAUGGUUACAGCUGGGGUAACCAAGAAGAGAGUGGAUACUGGAUUGGCCUGAGAGUUGAAAAUGGGAGAUGGAAGUGGAUUGAUGGAAGUGAUCUGGCUGUAGACUUCUGGAUAGGACCUCCCUUUGACGGUCAGUGUGCAGUUUCUGUCCAGGACGUAGGAUGGAGCUCAGUGAGCUGUGCUGACAGAAAACGAUGGAUCUGCAAAAAGAAGGCUUUGUGUGUUUAAAC
This is a long non-coding RNA of Perca fluviatilis (European perch), 281 nucleotides long. RefSeq lists it as uncharacterized. The transcript has 3 exons. NCBI's taxonomy places the organism in Eukaryota, Metazoa, Chordata, Actinopteri, Perciformes, Percidae. The record is from RefSeq and is a predicted model, not a curated record.